AAAUGAAUAGACGGGGACCCGCACAAGCAGCGGAGCAUGUGGUUUAAUUCGAAGCAACGCGAAGAACCUUACCUGGAUUUGACAUCCCUCUGACCGUCUCUUAAUCGAGAUUUUCCCUUCGGGGACAGAGGAGACAGGUGGUGCAUGGUUGUCGUCAGCUCGUGUCGUGAGAUGUUGGGUUAAGUCCCGCAACGAGCGCAACCCUUGUCUUUAGUUGCCAUCAAGUAAAGUUGGGCACUCUAAAGAGACUGCCAAGGUAAACUUGGAGGAAGGUGGGGAUGACGUCAAAUCAUCAUGCCCUUUAUGUCCAGGGCUACACACGUGCUACAAUGGCCGAUACAACGGGCAGCUAAGGAGCAAUCCGGAGCAAAUCCUACAAAAUCGGUCCCAGUUCGGAUUGUGGGCUGAAAUUCGCCCACAUGAAGUCGGAGUUGCUAGUAAUCGCGAAUCAGCAUGUCGCGGUGAAUGCGUUCCCGGGUCUUGUACACACCGCCCGU
RNAcentral lists this ribosomal RNA (497 nucleotides) under uncultured bacterium. RNAcentral's name for it is "bacterial SSU rRNA". It matches the Rfam family "Bacterial small subunit ribosomal RNA", at positions 903 to 1397 of the family's 1533-position model. The record is from RNAcentral.